CGUAACAAGGUUUCCGUAGGUGAACCUGCGGAAGGAUC
This 38-nucleotide ribosomal RNA is filed under the name Melanelixia fuliginosa. RNAcentral's name for it is "partial 18S ribosomal RNA". Lineage: Eukaryota; Fungi; Ascomycota; Lecanoromycetes; Lecanorales; Parmeliaceae. The record is from RNAcentral.